ACGUAGGGGGCGAGCGUUAUUCGGAAUUACUGGGUGUAAAGGGUAUGUAGGCGGCCCUUCAAGUCGCGUGUCAAAGUCCAGUGCUCAACGCUGGGUGUGCACGCGAUACUGACGGGCUUGAGGGCUGGAGAGGUGAGCGGAAUUCCCGGUGUAGUGGUAAAAUGCGUAGAGAUCUGGAGGAAUACCAGCGGCGCAGGCGGCCCCCUGGACGGUGUCUGACGCUAAGAUGCGAAAGCGUGGGGAGCAAACAG
RNAcentral lists this ribosomal RNA (251 nucleotides) under uncultured prokaryote. RNAcentral's name for it is "partial 16S rRNA". It matches the Rfam family "Bacterial small subunit ribosomal RNA", at positions 525 to 775 of the family's 1533-position model. The record is from RNAcentral.